RNAcentral lists this long non-coding RNA (724 nucleotides) under Rattus norvegicus (Norway rat). Its description in RNAcentral is "long non-coding RNA NONRATT018440". Lineage: Eukaryota; Metazoa; Chordata; Mammalia; Rodentia; Muridae. The record is from RNAcentral.
AGAAGAUACUCAGUGCUGACCAAAAUUGCAAAGACUACUCAAAGUACUCAAGUACUCAAGUUUUGCCUGGAAUAUUAGCUACAUGAAUGACUGAGCUUUAAUUGACAAAAGUAAACAAAUAAACCCAUCUACAUUCGGAAGGCCACCCCUGGAAAGGGUCAUUUGAUCCUCAAAGAGGUCAUGACCAACACUGCAUUGCAGGGAUAAUGUGACAUUUAAUUGAUACCAAAUGGAGAUUCCUCAUAUUAAAACCAAUAUCAACGAAGGCUACCAUGUUGACCUUAGCCAAAAUUGCAUUGAUUUCAAGUCUGUUCAUUUCAUUACCAUUUGGGAGACCUCAGAAACAAAAUCUAAGAAGAAAUGUAACUCAGCACACUAUAGAAGAUGUGAAAACAAUGAGAAACAAAUCGAUUCAUUUGGAAAGAAGAAUAAAUGCAACUUCAGAAAACAGAAGUGAUAUCUCCAAUCUCAUGGUGACGGCUCCUUCUCUUUUGGAUUUAUCCACAACCUUCAAAGCAACAAAUUCCAGCAGAAACUUUCCAACAGCUAGUUCAACUGAGAGUCCAAAACCUCCCUCCACACAUUCCAUUCCUCCCUUGGUUCAGGGCUUUGUUUCCAAGUUGCCUUUGAACUCAUCCGUAGCCGAUGUAAAUCCUUUACAGGUCUCAGAACAUUCCAAUUCUACACAUUCUCCAUUGUCGGGAAAUUUUACUUGGUCUUUGGA